GGAUUCAUCUGGCUCCAUGUGUCCCUCUGCAGUCUCUGCAGCUCUCAUCAGGAUAAGCAACAGAGCCCAAGCCACCAUUAAUCUUGUCCUAAAGCCUAAAAUAGGUCAGUGAACAGCACCUGAAAGUCCCACUUUCCCUCCAGAUACCGGAAAGGGAGCCCACAGAGAUGAGAUCAGACACAGGCAUUAAAAAUUAGGAGGAAUAAAUCCCCCAGUGAAUUCCUUACCAUGUAUCUGGGCAUCAGCAUUGAUCCCUGGGGUUUCUGGGCCAUCUGUGAACCAUCAUCACUGUCCCCAAACUGGCCAGCACAGGCAUCCAGAGGCCACUUGAUUCCAGACAAGACAUCAGGAGGAAAGUCCAGAGACAGCAACCAAAUUCGUCAGGAAGCUGCUUCUGUCCUGUCAGUAGAAAGGGGUCUCUCCUUGGCUGCUGUUCCCUCGCUGCGUGUGACAGAGGGGUCUCUCAGGUUGGAGUCCUGAGCUGGAUGCUGGACUGGGGGGGAGAUUCCCAAUGGAUCUUGGUGUUUAAGGAUAUGGCUUCAACAUGGGUGAGCUCCCUGCACCAGCUUUGACUCAGGAUCAUCUUGCUGGGGCAUCCAUAGAAUCACAGGAUCAUGAAGGUUGGAAAAAGCCUCCAAGAUCAUCGAGCCCCACCUUUGGCCAAACACCACCAUGCCCAGCAAACCCAGACAUUCAUCAUGACCAGGUGGCUGCCCAGACAAGGGCCCUCCAUACCCAGAAACCCACCUGCAGGGUAUUUAUCUGUGUUCCUCCCACUCCAGUGAGGUGAGUGCCAGCUCUGACCAAGCUGAGCUGCUGCAGCAUCUCUCUCACUGCUUUGCUUUGCUUGAACAAACCUGUCAAAGCUGCUGCUUUCAA
This is a long non-coding RNA of Pseudopipra pipra, 879 nucleotides long. RefSeq lists it as uncharacterized. The record is from RefSeq and is a predicted model, not a curated record. Lineage: Eukaryota; Metazoa; Chordata; Aves; Passeriformes; Pipridae. The transcript has 3 exons.